UACGGAGGGUGCGAGCGUUGUCCGGAAUCACUGGGCGUAAAGGGCGCGUAGGCGGCUCAUGAAGGCUGUGGUGAAAGUCGGGGGCUCAACCCUCGGAUGCCGGUGGAUACUGUCGGGCUUGAGUACGGAAGAGGCGAGUGGAAUUCCUGGUGUAGCGGUGAAAUGCGCAGAUAUCAGGAGGAACACCAAUUGCGAAGGCAGCUCGCUGGGACGUUACUGACGCUGAGACGCGAAAGCGUGGGGAGCAAACAGG
RNAcentral lists this ribosomal RNA (253 nucleotides) under uncultured bacterium. Its description in RNAcentral is "partial 16S ribosomal RNA". It matches the Rfam family "Bacterial small subunit ribosomal RNA", at positions 524 to 776 of the family's 1533-position model. The record is from RNAcentral.